This 531-nucleotide ribosomal RNA is filed under the name Clostridium sp. RNAcentral describes it as "bacterial SSU rRNA". It matches the Rfam family "Bacterial small subunit ribosomal RNA", at positions 1 to 542 of the family's 1533-position model. Lineage: Bacteria; Bacillati; Bacillota; Clostridia; Eubacteriales; Clostridiaceae. The record is from RNAcentral.
UUUUUGGAGAGUUUGAUCCUGGCUCAGGACGAACGCUGGCGGCGUGCUUAACACAUGCAAGUCGAACGGAGUGUUUCAAAAAGCUUGCUUUUUGCAACACUCAGUGGCGCACGGGUGAGUAACACGUGGGCAACCUGCCCGGAAGACUGGGAUAACACCUCGAAAGGGGUGCUAAUACCGGAUACCUUCACGGAGUCGCAUGACUUUGUGCAGAAAGAAAUUCGCUUCCGGAUGGGCCCGCGUCCCAUUAGCUAGUUGGCGAGGUAACGGCUCACCAAGGCGACGAUGGGUAGCUGGUCUGAGAGGACGAUCAGCCACACUGGAACUGAGACACGGUCCAGACUCCUACGGGAGGCAGCAGUGGGGAAUCUUGCGCAAUGGGCGAAAGCCUGACGCAGCAACGCCGCGUGAACGAAGAAGGCCUUCGGGUCGUAAAGUUCUGUCAAGGGGGACGAUAAUGACGGUACCCCUGGAGGAAGCCCCGGCUAACUACGUGCCAGCAGCCGCGGUAAUACGUAGGGGGCGAGCGUU